This 255-nucleotide ribosomal RNA is filed under the name uncultured bacterium. RNAcentral's name for it is "partial 16S ribosomal RNA". It matches the Rfam family "Bacterial small subunit ribosomal RNA", at positions 80 to 334 of the family's 1533-position model. The record is from RNAcentral.
CAAACCAAAAGCUGGCGACCGGCGCACGGGUGAGUAACACGUAUCCAACCUGCCUCAUACUCGGGGAUAGCCUUUCGAAAGAAAGAUUAAUAUCCGAUAGCAUAUAUUUCCCGCAUGGGUUUUAUAUUAAAGAAAUUCGGUAUGAGAUGGGGAUGCGUUCCAUUAGUUUGUUGGGGGGUAACGGCCCACCAAGACUACGAUGGAUAGGGGUUCUGAGAGGAAGGUCCCCCACAUUGGAACUGAGACACGGUCCAA